GUGACUGCGUACCUUUUGUAUAAUGGGUCAGCGACUUAUAUUCUGUAGCAAGGUUAACCGUAUAGGGGAGCCGAAGGGAAACCGAGUCUUAACUGGGCGUUAAGUUGCAGGGUAUAGACCCGAAACCCGGUGAUCUAGCCAUGGGCAGGUUGAAGGUUGGGUAACACUAACUGGAGGACCGAACCGACUAAUGUUGAAAAAUUAGCGGAUGACCUGUGGCUGGGGGUGAAAGGCCAAUCAAACCGGGAGAUAGCUGGUUCUCCCCGAAAGCUAUUUAGGUAGCGCCUCGUGAACUCAUCUUCGGGGGUAGAGCACUGUUUCGGCUAGGGGGCCAUCCCGGCUUACCAACCCGAUGCAAACUACGAAUACCGAAGAAUGUUAUCACGGGAGACACACGGCGGGUGCUAACGUCCGUCGUGAAGAGGGAAACAACCCAGACCGCCAGCUAAGGUCCCAAAGUCAUGGUUAAGUGGGAAACGAUGUGGGAAGGCACAGACAGCCAGGAUGUUGGCUUAGAAGCAGCCAUCAUUUAAAGAAAGCGUAAUAGCUCACUGGUCGAGUCGGCCUGCGCGGAAGAUGUAACGGGGCUAAACCAUGCACCGAAGCUGCGGCAGCGACACUAUGUGUUGUUGGGUAGGGGAGCGUUCUGUAAGCCGUUGAAGGUGUGCUGUGAGGCAUGCUGGAGGUAUCAGAAGUGCGAAUGCUGACAUAAGUAACGAUAAAGCGGGUGAAAAGCCCGCUCGCCGGAAGACCAAGGGUUCCUGUCCAACGUUAAUCGGGGCAGGGUGAGUCGACCCCUAAGGCGAGGCCGAAAGGCGUAGUCGAUGGGAAACAGGUUAAUAUUCCUGUACUUGGUGUUACUGCGAAGGGGGGACGGAGAAGGCUAUGUCAGCCGGGCGACGGUUGUCCCGGUUUAAGCAUGUAGGCGGAGGUUCCAGGUAAAUCCGGUACCUUAUUAACGCUGAGGUGUGAUGACGAGGCACUACGGUGCUGAAGUGAUAAAUGCCCUGCUUCCAGGAAAAGCCUCUAAGCAUCAGGUAACACGAAAUCGUACCCCAAACCGACACAGGUGGUCAGGUAGAGAAUACCAAGGCGCUUGAGAGAACUCGGGUGAAGGAACUAGGCAAAAUGGUGCCGUAACUUCGGGAGAAGGCACGCUGAUAUGUAGGUGAAGCCCCUGCGGGCGGAGCUGAAAUCAGUCGAAGAUACCAGCUGGCUGCAACUGUUUAUUAAAAACACAGCACUGUGCAAACACGAAAGUGGACGUAUACGGUGUGACGCCUGCCCGGUGCCGGAAGGUUAAUUGAUGGGGUUAGCGGCAACGCGAAGCUCUUGAUCGAAGCCCCGGUAAACGGCGGCCGUAACUAUAACGGUCCUAAGGUAGCGAAAUUCCUUGUCGGGUAAGUUCCGACCUGCACGAAUGGCGUAAUGAUGGCCAGGCUGUCUCCACCCGAGACUCAGUGAAAUUGAACUCGCUGUGAAGAUGCAGUGUACCCGCGGCAAGACGGAAAGACCCCGUGAACCUUUACUAUAGCUUGACACUGAACACUGGUCCUUGAUGUGUAGGAUAGGUGGGAGGCUUUGAAGCGUGGACGCCAGUCUGCGUGGAGCCAUCCUUGAAAUACCACCCUUUAAUGGCUGGUGUUCUAACGUAGACCCGUGAUCCGGGUUGCGGACAGUGUCUGGUGGGUAGUUUGACUGGGGCGGUCUCCUCCCAAAGAGUAACGGAGGAGCACGAAGGUUGGCUAAUCCUGGUCGGACAUCAGGAGGUUAGUGCAAUGGCAUAAGCCAGCUUGACUGCGAGCGUGACGGCGCGAGCAGGUGCGAAAGCAGGUCAUAGUGAUCCGGUGGUUCUGAAUGGAAGGGCCAUCGCUCAACGGAUAAAAGGUACUCCGGGGAUAACAGGCUGAUACCGCCCAAGAGUUCAUAUCGACGGCGGUGUUUGGCACCUCGAUGUCGGCUCAUCACAUCCUGGGGCUGAAGUAGGUCCCAAGGGUAUGGCUGUUCGCCAUUUAAAGUGGUACGCGAGCUGGGUUUAGAACGUCGUGAGACAGUUCGGUCCCUAUCUGCCGUGGGCGCUGGAGAAUUGAGGGGGGCUGCUCCUAGUACGAGAGGACCGGAGUGGACGCAUCACUGGUGUUCGGGUUGUCAUGCCAAUGGCACUGCCCGGUAGCUAAAUGCGGAAGAGAUAAGUGCUGAAAGCAUCUAAGCACGAAACUUGCCCCGAGAUGAGUUCUCCCUGAGACUUUAAGUCUCCUGAAGGAACGUUGAAGACGACGACGUUGAUAGGUCGGGUGUGUAAGCGCAGCGAUGCGUUGAGCUAACCGAUACUAAUGAACCGUGAGGCUUAACCUU
RNAcentral lists this ribosomal RNA (2355 nucleotides) under Enterobacter hormaechei. RNAcentral describes it as "23S ribosomal RNA". It matches the Rfam family "Bacterial large subunit ribosomal RNA", at positions 593 to 2925 of the family's 2925-position model. Lineage: Bacteria; Pseudomonadati; Pseudomonadota; Gammaproteobacteria; Enterobacterales; Enterobacteriaceae. The record is from RNAcentral.